AAUUUUGAUAGCUUAAGAAGAGUGUGACGUUGAAGUUGUUAAGGUGACUAAAGUCUCAAAAU
RNAcentral lists this transfer RNA (62 nucleotides) under Emplectonema gracile. RNAcentral describes it as "tRNA-Phe". The record is from RNAcentral. Lineage: Eukaryota; Metazoa; Nemertea; Enopla; Monostilifera; Emplectonematidae.